AACGAACGCUGGCGGCAGGCCUAACACAUGCAAGUCGAGCGAAGCCUUCGGGCUUAGCGGCGGACGGGUGAGUAACGCGUGGGAACGUGCCCUUUGCUACGGAAUAGCCCCGGGAAACUGGGAGUAAUACCGUAUUUGCCCUUCGGGGGAAAGAUUUAUCGGCAAAGGAUGGGCUCGCGUUGGAUUAGGUAGUUGGUGGGGUAAUGGCCUACCAAGCCGACGAUCCAUAGCUGGUUUGAGAGGAUGAUCAGCCACACUGGGACUGAGACACGGCCGAGUCUCCGACGGGAGGCAGCAGUGGGGAAUUUUCGACAAUGAGGGAAACCCUGAUCUAGCCAUGACGCGUGGUCGAUGAAGGCCUUAGGGUUGUAAAGAUCUUUCAGUGGGGAAGAUAAUGACUGUACCCACAGAAGAAGCCCCGGCUAACUCCGUGCCAGCCGCCGCCGUAA
Molecule: ribosomal RNA, 449 nt
Filed under: uncultured bacterium
Lineage: Bacteria
Description: partial 16S ribosomal RNA
Rfam family: Bacterial small subunit ribosomal RNA
Source: RNAcentral